CUCCGCGCGCCGCCGACAGGUGGCGCCGUGCCCACUCGCUGCCUCCGUCGCCGGCGGGCGCUGGGGUGGGCCCUCGCGGGGCCUCCCGCGCCUCGGGAGGCGCUGCGGGCCGUGGGCCGUUGCCUUCGAGGGCUGUGUGAUGAGCGCGCGAGACCACUGGGGCGACUAUUACUGGGGGCUUCCUUUUUCUUUCCCUUUUUUUAAGACUAACGUUACUUAUACCAGUAUAGCGCGCAUGCUCUACUUUUCAAAGGGCUUUCCCAUCCAUUAUCUCAAAUAAUCCUCAAGAUAAGCUUAUAAAUCAAGAAUCAGAAUCAUUACCCUACGUUACAAGAAGUAAACGGAAGCUCGAAGCGAUGGCACACGAAGUCUUCCAACCAAGCAAUUCUAGCGUAUGUUUGCAAAUCUGUGAGUGUAGUUGACAUACAGAGAUACAAUAGACAUCAUAUAGAAAGCGACCCGCGCAAUGCCUGGCAUCUGAUAAGCAAGCAGUAAAUGGCAACAUUAUUAUUGAUCAAGAACAUUGUGAUGUUUUCGAAUAUGUCUGGAUGAACAAUGUUACCAUCACGAAAACUGGGACAACCUACCCUACAUGCACACCAAUACGAUGCAGUGACAUGACCCUCAUCAAAUGCCUGAUUGCUCACACUCUCUACAAGCCUGGCUUAGGUGGGUGCCCUACUCCCAUCUGUACCACCCGUCCUGAAAUGAGACACGACUGUUUAACUGGACUGAACUCUUCCCCAGACUGAGAGACUGAUUCAACGAGAUUUGGGGUGAUAUCCUUAGAUUUGUUCUUUUCUCCUUAUUCUUGUUUCAGUCUGUAUUCUUUUUGUGCAGAUCUCUUGCCUUACUGACCUAAACCUCUCUCCACAACUACCAAUGCAACUUUCAAUGUGUGAGACUUCGUGUAAAGUUUCAGAUGGAGAUCAGCAUACGUCACCCCAAAAUCAAGAAAUUCUUAUGCCACCAGAGGCAGGAAAGUCAUCAUUCUCACUGCAGUCCUCACUCUACCAUCUAAAGAUUCUUCAAACCCAACACCUAGAAACCUCAACUGACAGCCCUCUGAACUGGUGGUAUAUGGUCUACUUACUAGAACCAUUAUUUUUUUGGUUUUAUAUUGUUUCCUUAGAAAUGACUGUCAUUAAAUGCCUGAUUGCUCAUACCCUGUACAAGCCUAACUUAGGUGGCCUUCAAUUUUUCAAGGAAAUUUCCACUUGCAAAGGUGUUUCCCUCUCCUAUGCACAGAACAAGAGAACUACAGAGACAAUCUCCUCACCUGGGAUGACUUGAAACUGCAUAAAAACCUUAUAAAAUAACCUCUAUUUACCAUAAUUUUCUAUUCACUUUCCAACAAUUUACUAAUUCCCCUUUUUCUUUGCCUAGUUUCUUCUCAAUUCAUCAUCUUUUUUAAAAUGGCAGAUAAAAUCCUCAGACCAACUGCACCUCCUGGGUUUCUCUUCUUUUCUGAGAAGUCUCUGUACACAUGCAAAAUAAACUUUUUCUCUUGUUAAUCCAUCUUUUGUGACUUUAAUUCACAUGCCCCGGUCACUAAACAUAAGAGAGCAGAGGAAGUUUUUUCUUCUCCUAAAUUUAUAAGUGCUUUGGAUUUGGAUCAGGGCUUUGGAUUUUAACUUAUCAAGGAUAUACCAACGCACCACUGGAUAUACAUGUAACAUUAAAAAGGUGAAAUUAAAAGCCCUGGAAUACUCAAUUAGAAGUAUUAAUUUAUGUGGUAUUUUUUGUCAUGUGUGUGCACACGUGUGCCUGUGUGCAUUUGUGUGUCUUUGUUUAUUUCCUAACUCUGUCCCUGAAAAAGCCUAGCCAAGAUUACUAGAGUGAUGUCUAAAGGAUUUAAAGGCAAACUGGAAAGGCUCAGGUCAAAA
Molecule: long non-coding RNA, 1886 nt
Organism: Nyctereutes procyonoides (raccoon dog)
Lineage: Eukaryota; Metazoa; Chordata; Mammalia; Carnivora; Canidae
Exons: 3
Source: RefSeq, a predicted model, not a curated record